This 7014-nucleotide long non-coding RNA is filed under the name Chlamydomonas reinhardtii. RNAcentral's name for it is "long non-coding RNA (CREI_LNC000796)". Lineage: Eukaryota; Viridiplantae; Chlorophyta; Chlorophyceae; Chlamydomonadales; Chlamydomonadaceae. The record is from RNAcentral.
GCGGCAGCAGGUGGGCAUGCUGGCGGGUAAGUGGCGACCAGGACUUGGCACCUGCCGCAAAAGGCCCUUGCUUGACAUCAACCUCCAUAAUGCUGUCCCGGCCGCUUGCUUGCAGGCCUAAACCAGACCUGUGACUUCGGGUGCCGUUUCGUGCAAGCCGGUACCAUAAUGCAUCAGCGACGUGAUUAUGUUGUGCGGGUUCGGGGUGGCUGUGCAUCAACCGUUGCACCCGCAAGCACAUGUUCAUGUCCUCAUCCGAUAUUGAUGCGUUGUUGGCGUGCAUGGCUGCAUGGGGUUUCAUGCAUGAUUCUGGAGGUUCCUGGGGCCCGGGUGGAUGGCGGCGACAGUGAGUAAGCAGAAUAAUGAGGAGGCAAGGCAAAUCACUACUGCUAUCAGCGACUUGCAUGGGAGACGCCGUUGGGGCAGGAAAGGUGUUUAGCGACACGAGAGCAAGGCGAGGAACUAACGCGCUAGUGAGCGGACAUGUGGAUUGGUAGAUUUGUCUGGCGUAGUACAGGUUGCUGGGGCUUUGGAGGGCAUGCACGUUGUCUGGGGUGGAUGCAUGACAUGCAUUGCGCGAAUCACCUGGGGUCCGGCAGUGGGGGCAUGCAUGUGCAACGAGUCAAGGGCGGACACGGCCUUGUGGAGGAAGAGAGCGCGGUGCCGCCUAGAAAAUGGUGCUUGUUUGCUCGCAGACCGAGACUGGCCGGUGUCUGCUUAGCGAUCUCUGCAGGCACGCAUAGGCAUAGCUAAUGGAUUGCUGGCUGUUUACUGAGAAGCGCAAGGUGCCGCCGUUGGGGUGUGGAUUGGGCGCUGGGAUGAGCCAAGCACGGCCACAGCUGGUUGGCCUGGUUUUGUGUGUAAGCGAGCCGCUGCUGUCCAAGCAGUACGACGCAUUUGACAAACAGUGGGCUACCGUACUGACACCGUACGAGGACCUACGUACCGUACCCAGUCAAACUGCAGUGGCCCAGCCCGAACACGCAGCCGCGCCAACGCCCUAUAACGCUGCCGUACUACAAACAAAACUAUGUUCGUAGAGGCCCACGCAGUUACGUAUGGCAAAUGCCCCCAGUGAUGACCGGGCGCCUGCUGUUAUGCCCUGUCACGCUCACGCAACACAACCACCACCGCCACCAUGCACAGCGCAAAGUGGUGCCGCAGAGCCGUGUGGGAAUACAAGUUGAAAAUGCAAUGAGGUUAAUUCUUUGCCACUGGGUGUCAAUGAACGCUGCAGAGCAGUGCGUGCAUGCACAGUGCGAGGCGUCUCACUGUUAUGAGCUGCGCAGCACAGGUGAAACACACCGCAAACAGCGGCCAUCAAUGGCCAUCAACGGCUAUCCAGUUACACCGCCACACAUACACAUGCUUGGCCGUGAGCUUGUGCCCUGCAUCGCUGUGCGCUAUCUGUACCCAACUCGAGCGUAAGUGCGUGGCCACACAGACGAUAACGCAAGGCAUGAAGUAAGGUGUGCUUCGCAAGGGCGGUUUUACACCCUGUGAUGCUUAGGCUUCACCUAGUGUUUGCUAUUGUAUUAAAGUCUUGAUUUUCGAGGGUCCAAUGCAACCCCUAGAUAGCAUGCAGGUGCUCAAUUUGCGCGCAAGGGCCGUCUUCCUGGCGCGUUCCCCGCCAGGCAGAUGGACCCAUGCAUCAGUAGCACAUCUCCGCUACUGCUUCAAUGAACAUAAGGCAUAGUGCGAGUGAGUACAUCAAACCCGGUCCAGUCCAGUCCCUGUUCAACCCACAUGCCCAAACUUUAAGCCUUCCUGCCGCCCCAAGCUGCGGCAUGGUGCAGAGUCGAGCUGCCGCCACCGUUACUCGGGUGACUGGGGUUGGCCCAACCGGAGGCACCGCCGCUGCCGCCGUUGUCGCCGCCGGCCGCCCCGCCGGUGUUCAUCACCACGUUGGUCGCUUUGCGGUCACUGGCAGUGAGCAUGUCGCACGCCAGACUGCUGCUACCCAUAUGCAAAAGCAUCUGCGCCUCCCGCUCCUGCGGCACGCAGGCGUGGCCUCGGCGGCUGCGGCGCCAACGAAGUUUGUGGCUGGGCCGCCGCUGUGCACCCCGUGUGCGUCGUCAGGAGCGCGUCAGCUUGUGGGGCAGCGGCAGCUAGCUGCCUCGGGCCUUCCGCACGUGUCCUGCUGCUGAGUCUGUUCGCGGCUGUCUUUGGGCGUGGCCUGCCCUGGCGCCUCCGCCGCUAGCGGCGUUGCCCCUGGCACGCAUUUGAAGGUGGCCCUCAGCAGGCUGCUAGGUGCGUCGCCCUGCAGUGAACCCCGCCCGCCGUCGCCGUCCUCUGGGCAGUCGCCACGGCUGCGUGCUGUCCGGGCCACACAAGGCGCCACGUCCACCGACCCACCGCCGGCUGGCUGCAGGCUGGGCCCUGCUGACGGCCCAGGGGCUGCAGCGCUGCCGGCGCCACGAUCUCGGGUCCCGCCGACAGCUGCCGCCUGAGCAGCCCGGGGUUGUGACGCGCUGCUGAUCACGGCGGCGGCAGCGGGGCCACUGGUUGUGCCACGCACGGCGCCGCUUGGCUUCCUCCCACUGCGCAACCCUUUGUUAAGCGUCCUCUCCACCGCUUUGAUGAGCGCGCACACGACGCGGUCGAACGACGGCCGCGCCGCGGGGUCGUGCUGCAGGCAGGCGGCGCCGAUCUUGCGCAGCGUGGGCUUCGCGUCUGCCGGCCACUCCAGCUGCAGCUCCCCGCCCGCCAGCCCCACCAGGAUCUGGGCGGGGUGCAGCUGCGAGUGCGGCGGCACGCCCGAGCACAUGUGCCACAGCAGGGCGCCGCAUCUGCGAGCACAUGGGAGCAGCGCGGGAGCUCACACUUGCAACAGCGACUGGCGGGCAGUGGCUCAGGGGUCACCCUGGCAAUGAUUGUGAAUCUACUCCGGCACCACUGCAUAACAUAUGGAUACUCAUCCCGUAUCUGGCACGUGCGUGGUUGACACACCUGUACACGUCUGCGGGUUUGCCGUGCUCCUGUUCCUGCACCGCCUCGGGACCUAGCUAGGUACGCGAUGGCGCCCCAGCCGCUGCCGGUGUGGAUGGUGCGCGGCAGGCCGUUGACCAGGUGGCUGGUGAGCCUGCAGGCAACAGCAAACAGGCGACUUGAGAGGGCGGAGACGCGUAUGCGACGUCGGCCCGCCGUGAACGCAGUACGGUAGCUCGUUUGAGUCCAGGCCCGGGAACGCCUGAAGGCGUUGUAAUCAUGGUAACAAUGGCCAUGUCACGAUUACGCAGCUCACCCGAAAUCUGCGACCUUCAUGCAGUGAUUGCGGUGGGGCAUGCCGCCGGCAGCGAUGACUGCCCCGCCGUCACCUGAAGGCGCGCCCGACAGCGCUGCAGCUGCUGCCGCGCCGCUGGCCCCGGAGGCCGCCAGCCAGUUGCAGGAGGUGUCCAGGAUCAUUGCAGCAGCAGGGUCACCGGCGAGACCAGUUUAGCGUCGGGGAAGCCCCCUAUCCGCCCCCCAGACCCCCCCCCCCGGGGAGGCCCGUACGGCAGUGGGGCAAAGUUCGGACUAGGAUUCUAACACGCUGGCAAGGUUCCUGAAGGGUUCGGCAAACCUCCCAUUCCUAGUCAGAACUUUCCGCCAACCUGAGUUUUGGGGUCGAAAUGAGCCCGGUUUUGGUCAGUGCCACGGUGGCCACAGUGCGGGUGAGACCGGUUUGGGAAACCGGCCCCCUUGUACCCCCUCCCUAGCUUCCUAAAAGCCAUGCCUCAGCGCCAAGUUCACUUCAGCUAUACCGGUAUGCGGGGGUAAAUUGGACGGGAGGGGGGUGCAGGGGGGUCACCCCACAAGGUCAACCCCCCCCGCUAAUAAACAGCGUUUCGGCCACAGCAAAUGUCUUUGCAGGCAAUGAAAGCAUACGGGUGCCCAUCGGCACUGAUAGCUGGUAUCAGGGGCUAAGUUGCCGGUCCCCAUGCAGCGCGUGCCGCUGUGUCGCCCGUCGCUGUGCCGCCCCCUCCCCUGCUGGAUGCCUUGUGUCUGUAUCAAGGUCUGUAUGCGUGGCUCCCGGCCACAGCUGUCACAUGCGUGCGGCUAUCACUGGUGUGGCGGGCCGCAGGAGGCGCAAGCGGCUGGGGUGUGGCGCUGGAGGGGGGAGUGUGUGGGUGGGUGCGAUGGGGGCUGCCGACGUCGGUUUCGCAGCGCCCUUCGCAGGAGCGCGUCGCGCCGCCAUCUUACAGAUUUAAGCGUUUGAGGCCAAAAUCAGAGGCCAUCGAGAGGCACAUGUGUAAGGCUCCAUUAUUUUUGCUGCGUCUGUCCUGUAUGUAUGUAUAACUCAGCAUACUGUGAAUCGACAUAGACAUUCACUCAUUCUCACCAAUAUGAAUCAGCUCGGCGUUCAUGACCUCAUCCCACCCCUCGUGGACGACUUCGACGCUAAGCUGGGCCUGAGCAGCAGCAGCAACAGCCAACCCCUGGCUGUCUGUGAGCUGUCUGCGGCAGAGUUCAUGGAGAAAGAAAUGGUGGUGGAGGUGACCUCCAAAACCGCGGCGGCCGGUGCGCGGCCAAGUUUUCCUCGGGGUAAGGUGUGCCGAAACCCUUCUCCAGCAGGUCGAGGCACGCCUCGUUCAGGCCGUGCUGGUCGAAGUAGUGCGGCCGGUGCGCGGCGGCGUGGUGCGACCUGCGGGUUGCGGGGGCGUGCAUGCGCUGCAGCUGAUGGAGCGGCAUUGGGGGGCACAGAGUGGAGGUGCUGCUGCCGCACCUGCUUCAUGUAGUCAGACCACGCCAUCGCAACCGGCUUGCCGCCGAAGCGGUCCUCAAGCUUGUUGUGCGUGCAGCUCACGACAUACCGCAGAGCGACCGUGCGGUACAGCUUGCUCUCAAGCUCAAGCGCACUGAACCGCUCGUUCGCCUUGUCCUCUUGCACUUUGAGCUUCGUGCUCAUCUCGUGCUUCAGCGCUGUGAGCUGCGUGCUGAGCUCCUCGACCCGCUGCGCUAGGGUGGCAUUGCUUUGGCAGCACGGUGAACCUCGGCAAAUCGCUUCGCCAGCAUGCCACCCUAGCGCAGCGGGUCGAGGAGGUCAGCACGCAGCUCACAGCGCUGAAGCACGAGACGAGCACGCAGCUCACAGCGCUGAAGCACGAGACGAGCACGAAGCUCAAAGCGCAAGAGGACAAGGCGAACGAGCGGUUCAGUGCGCUUGAGCUUGAGAGCAAGCUGUACCGCACGGUCGCUCUGCGGUAUGUCAUGAGCUGCACGCACAACAAGCUCGAGGACCGCUUCGGCGGCAAGCCGGUUGCGAUGGCGUGGUCCGACUACAUGAAGCAGCUGCGGCAGCAGCACCACGUCUACUUCGACCAGCACGGCCUGAACCAGGCGUGCCUUGACCUGCUGGAGAAGGUUUUCGGCACACCUUACCCCCGGGAAAACCCGGCCGCGCACCGGCCGCCGCAGGACGUUGUUGCGGAUGCCUUCACGCAGGCGGCCGUGGAGGAGCCAUUGUGGCACACCUUGUUUGCGUUCAUCGACAACCAGCAGGUACGGCAGGCGCAUAUGGAUGCGAAUUACAAUUGAAGGGACAGCCCUGGCGCAUAUGGAGGGAAGGAUCACAAUGAAAGGACGGAUGGGUGGCGUGGUGGUGAACCUGUGAUGACGGGGAAGAGGGUCGCAUGUCGGAUGCCAGCCAGCUGAGGGUAGUGUGGAUGCGGCGUGGUGCGGCAGCGUGGUGCGGCAGCAGGUGGGCAUGCUGGCGGGUAAGUGGCGACCAGGACUUGGCACCUGCCGCAAAAGGCCCUUGCUUGACAUCAACCUCCAUAGUGCUGUCCUGGCCGCUUGCUUGCAGGCCUAAACCAGACCUGUGACUUCGGGUGCCGUUUCGUGCAAGCCGGUACCAUAAUGCAUCAGCGACGUGAUUAUGUUGUGCGAGUUCGGGGUGGAUGUGCAUUAACCGUUGCACCCGCGUGCGCUGCGUCUGUCCUGUAUAUACGUAUAACUCAGCAUACUGUAAAUCGACGUAGACAUUCACUCAUUCUCACCAAUAUGAAUCAGAGUUGGCGUUCAUGACCUCAUCCCACCCCUCGUGGAUGACUUCGACGCUAAGCUGGGCCUGAGCAGCAGCAGCAACAGCCAACCCCUGGCUAUCUGUGAACUGUCUGCGGCAGAGUUCGUGGAGAAAGAAAUGGUGGUGGAGGUGAACCUCGGCAAAUCGCGUCGCCAGCAUGCCACCCUAGCGCAGCGGGUCGAGGAGCUCAGCACGCAGCUCACAGCGCUGAAGCACGAGACGAGCACGCAGCUCACAGCGCUGAAGCACGAGACGAGCACGGAGCUCAAAGCGCAAGAAGACAAGGCGAAUGAGCGGUUCAGUGCGCUUGAGCUUGAGAGCAAGCUGUACCGCACGGUCGCUCUGCGGUAUGUCAUGAGCUGCACGCACAACAAGCUCGAGGACCGCUUCGGCGGCAAGCCGGUUGCGAUGGCGUGGUCCGACUACGUGACGCAGCUGCGGCAGCAGCACCACGACUACUUCGACCAGCACGGCCUGAACGAGGCGUGCCUCGACCUGCUGGAGAAGGGUUUCGGCACACCUUACCCCGGGGAAAACCCGGCCGCGCACCGGCCGCCGCGGGACGUUGUCGCGCAGGCGGCCGUGGAGGAGCCGUUGUGGAACACCUUGUUUGCGUUCAUCGACAACCAGCACGUACGGCAGGCGCAUAUGGAGGUAGAGGAUCACAAUGCAAGGACGGAUGGGUGGCGCGGUGGUGAACCUGUGAUGAUGGGGAAUAGGGUUGCAUGUCGGAUGCCAGCCAGCUGAGGGUAGUGUGGAUGCGGCGUGGUGCGGCAGCGUGGUGCGGCAGCAGGUGGGCAUGCUGGCGGGUAAGUGGCGACCAGGACUUGGCACCUGCCGCAAAAGGCCCUUGCUUGACAUCAACCUCCAUAAUGCUGUCCCGGCCGCUUGCUUGCAGGCCUAAACCAGACCUGUGACUUCGGGUGCCGUUUCGUGCAAGCCGGUACCAUAAUGCAUCAGCGACGUGAUUAUGUUGUGCGAGUUCGGGGUGGCUGUGCAUCAACCGUUGC